GCGCGAAAACUUUACAAUGCGGGACACCGCGAUAAGGGGACCUCGAGUGCUGGCAUACAAUGCUGGCUGUCCAGCUGCCUAAAUAGCAGUUGAUAGCAAGGGCCGGGCAAGACCGGUGCCAGCCGCCGCGGUAACACCGGCGGCUCGAGUGGUAACCGCUAUUAUUGGGUCUAAAGGGUCUGUAGCCUGCAGGUUAAGUCUCUUGGUAAAUCCGGCAGCUCAACUGUCGGGGUUCAGGGGAUACUGGUCUGCUCGGGACCGGGAGAGGUGAGAGGUACCUCAGGGGUAGGGUGAAAUCUUGUAAUCCUUGAGGGACCACCAGUGGCGAAGGCGUCUCACCAGAACGGGUCCGACGGCAAGGGACGAAAGCUAGGGGCACGAACCGGAUUAGAUACCCUAGUA
RNAcentral lists this ribosomal RNA (402 nucleotides) under uncultured bacterium. RNAcentral describes it as "bacterial SSU rRNA". It matches the Rfam family "Archaeal small subunit ribosomal RNA", at positions 339 to 743 of the family's 1478-position model. The record is from RNAcentral.